Molecule: ribosomal RNA, 476 nt
Filed under: uncultured bacterium
Lineage: Bacteria
Description: bacterial SSU rRNA
Rfam family: Bacterial small subunit ribosomal RNA
Source: RNAcentral
ACUCCUACGGGAGGCAGCAGUGGGGAAUAUUGCACAAUGGGCGCAAGCCUGAUGCAGCCAUGCCGCGUGUGUGAAGAAGGCCUCGGUUGUAAAGCACUUUCUAGUCGUGAGGAAGGCGGGUACGGUUAAUAGCGUAUUCGUUUGUACGUUAGCGACAGAAGAAGCACCGGCUAACUCCGUGCCAGCAGCCGCGGUAAUACGGAGGGUGCGAGCGUUAAUCGGAAUUACUGGGCGUAAAGCGCAUGCAGGUGGUUUUGUUAAGUUCAGAUGUGAAAGCCGGGGGCUCAACCUCGGAAUAGCAUUUGAAACUGGCAGACUAGAGUACUGUAGAGGGGGUUAGGAAUUUCAGGUGUAGCGGUGAAAUGCGUAGAGAUCUGAAGGAAUACCAGUGGCGAAGGCGGCCCCCUGGACAAAGACUGACGCUCAGAUGCGAAAGCGUGGGGAGCAACAGGAUUAGAUACCCUGGUAGCACAGAG